RNAcentral lists this ribosomal RNA (253 nucleotides) under uncultured bacterium. RNAcentral describes it as "partial 16S ribosomal RNA". It matches the Rfam family "Bacterial small subunit ribosomal RNA", at positions 524 to 776 of the family's 1533-position model. The record is from RNAcentral.
UACAGAGGGGGCAAGCGUUGUUCGGAAUUACUGGGCGUAAAGGGCGCGUAGGCGGCCUGCUGAGUCGAACGUGAAAUCCCCGGGCUCAACCCGGGAACUGCGUCCGAUACUGGCAGGCUUGAAUCCGGGAGAGGGAUGUGGAAUUCCAGGUGUAGCGGUGAAAUGCGUAGAUAUCUGGAGGAACACCGGUGGCGAAGGCGGCAUCCUGGACCGGUAUUGACGCUGAUGCGCGAAAGCCAGGGGAGCAAACGGG